AUUGAACGCUGGCGGCAUGCUUUACACAUGCAAGUCGAACGGCAGCGCGGGCUUCGGCCUGGCGGCGAGUGGCGAACGGGUGAGUAGUACAUCGGAACGUGCCCAGUAGUGGGGGAUAGCUCGGCGAAAGCCGGAUUAAUACCGCAUACGACCUGAGGGUGAAAGCGGGGGAUCUUCGGACCUCGCGCUAUUGGAGCGGUCGAUGGCAGAUUAGCUAGUUGGUGGGGUAAAGGCCUACCAAGGCGACGAUCUGUAGCUGGUCUGAGAGGACGACCAGCCACACUGGGACUGAGACACGGCCCAGACUCCUACGGGAGGCAGCAGUGGGGAAUUUUGGACAAUGGGCGAAAGCCUGAUCCAGCAAUGCCGCGUGUGUGAUGAAGGCCUUCGGGUUGUAAAGCACUUUUGGCGGGAACGAAAAGGACUGUGCCAAUACCACGGUUCGAUGACGGUACCCGCAGAAUAAGCACCGGCUAACUACGUG
This 484-nucleotide ribosomal RNA is filed under the name uncultured bacterium. RNAcentral describes it as "partial 16S ribosomal RNA". It matches the Rfam family "Bacterial small subunit ribosomal RNA", at positions 29 to 507 of the family's 1533-position model. The record is from RNAcentral.